This 494-nucleotide ribosomal RNA is filed under the name uncultured bacterium. Its description in RNAcentral is "partial 16S ribosomal RNA". It matches the Rfam family "Bacterial small subunit ribosomal RNA", at positions 28 to 507 of the family's 1533-position model. The record is from RNAcentral.
GACGAACGCUGGCGGCGUGCUUAACACAUGCAAGUCGAACGGUGAAGCGCCUUCCUUUUUGGUGGGUGUGGAUGAGUGGCGAACGGGUGAGUAACACGUGAGUAACCUGCCCCCUUCUUCUGGAUAACCGCAUGAAAGUGUGGCUAAUACGGGAUAUUCUGGGUCUGUCGCAUGAUGGGUCUGGGAAAGAUUUUGUUUCGGUGGGGGAUGGGCUCGCGGCCUAUCAGCUUGUUGGUGGGGUGAUGGCCUACCAAGGCGGUGAGGGGUAGCCGGCCUGGGGGGGUGGGCGGCACUAGAGCGGCGGGGACGCGGCCAAUACUACGAGGGGAGGCAGUAGGGGGGAAUAUUGCACGAUGGGCGGAAGCCUGAUGCAGCGACGCGGCGGGAGGGAUGGAGGCCGUCGGGUUGUGAACCUCUUUCGCCAGUGAAGCAGGCCUGCCUCGUUUGUGGGUGGGUUGACGGUAGCUGGAUAAGAAGCGCCGGCUAACUACGUG